CCUACGGGAGGCAGCAGUAGGGAAUAUUGGACAAUGGGCGCAAGCCUGAUCCAGCCAUCCCGCGUGAAGGAUUAAGGCCCUCUGGGUUGUAAACUUCUUUUCUCUGGGAAUAAAAACCGGUAUUCAUACUGGCUUGAAGGUACCAGAGGAAUAAGCACCGGCUAACUCCGUGCCAGCAGCCGCGGUAAUACGGAGGGUGCAAGCGUUAUCCGGAUUCACUGGGUUUAAAGGGUGCGUAGGUGGCUUUGUAAGUCAGUGGUGAAAUGCCGCAGCUCAACUGCGGAACUGCCAUUGAUACUGCUUAGCUUGAAUCACGUCGAGGUGGAUGGAAUAAUACAUGUAGCGGUGAAAUGCUUAGAUAUGUAUUAGAACACCGAUUGCGAAGGCAGUUCACUAGGCGUGUAUUGACACUGAGGCACGAAAGCGUGGGGAUCAAACAGGAAUUAGAUACCCUGGUAGUCCACGCCCUAAACGAUAGUAAACUCGACAUUAGCGAUAUACUGUUAGUGUCCAAGCGAAAGACGUAAGUUUACCACCUGGAAGUACGACCGCAAGUGAAACUUAAAGUAGAAUUAGACG
Molecule: ribosomal RNA, 579 nt
Filed under: uncultured bacterium
Lineage: Bacteria
Description: bacterial SSU rRNA
Rfam family: Bacterial small subunit ribosomal RNA
Source: RNAcentral